GUGUUUUUUCGAUUACUGUCUUUGUUAUUUGCUAGUAUAUAGAUUAUCGGUAUUACAACCAAUCCUUGGGUUAAAGCUUCCGUUGCACAACAAAAAUACCAAUUGUUAAAAUCACUACAUUAACCCCAUACUCUUAAUUAAAUAGUGGACCUAUAAUAAGCAUAUGUUUCUGCCUUGUAAAACUUGGUUGCAUGUCUAGUUCUCUAGUUAUGAAAGUUGCUCUUGGUAGUAAACCUGUAUACGAAGGAGGUGGAACACAAAAUGCUCUUAUACCUACAACAUAACAGAUUCUAUUAGUUUUAAAACAACAGUCACCAACUUCAACAAAGUCCAUUCAUGCAAAUCAACAAUUCUUACUCAUUACCUUGAUGUCGUUGCGUAGAACUAUAGUAACCAACUUAACUUGAGGUACUUGAAUGGAGGAUUAGCAUUUGAUCCAGCUCUAAUUGGUGGAUUCGCAACUGGUGGAGCUCUUACAGAAGGUUGUGGUGAUGGUUGAGCUCUUACCAGCUAGUGCAGAUGUUUGGAGUGAUGGUAGAGCUCUUACAAGUGGAGUUUGUGAUAGAGGAGUCCUUUCAAGUGGAGUUGUCAUUGAAAAUUGCCUUGACAAUGUAGUACUUGCCACUGAACCUGCCAUUGAAGCCAAACAACUAUAAGUUUUCAUCUUAAAAAUAGUAGUAUCACAUCUUUACUACUUAUAAAGCGACCUGUUAUUAGCAACAGUAAAAGCCUAUAUAAUAUCUACUUAUAUUUUGACACGUAUACAGACUUUCGUUCGACUCCGGAAAUUGAUUAUGUUCUUAAAUUUUUUUUUAUCACUACUGUUUGUUGACUUUAUGGAAAAUAAGAAUGAGUUAGGGCACGUGCAUGGCAUGUGCAUAUUUACAUAGUAUACAGUAAACAUUUGUAUACCUUGUGCUUGUGGAACAGUCCAAGACAUCCCUGGUAUACCACCUGAUGGUCUAGGUUGAAGUGCAGCUCUAGUCAUAAUCCUUGGUUAAGACAAAACAAAGAAAUAUAAAGCAAUAAUAAAAAAAUAUAAAUAAAUCAACAUUCCUCCAAACUGAGUUGUAGACUUCUAGUACUAGAUUGCCCUUUAAGAGCAAUCCCAAUCGGAGGGCAGUUUGGUGCCCUCCACGUAGGUGCCACAUAAGCAAAACCACCUUCAAAAUCACUCUCUAUCCAUGAUAGUCAAAACCCCCUGCGAAGUGGUGUCAAUGGGAAA
Molecule: long non-coding RNA, 1225 nt
Filed under: Aquilegia coerulea
Lineage: Eukaryota; Viridiplantae; Streptophyta; Magnoliopsida; Ranunculales; Ranunculaceae
Description: long non-coding RNA (ACOE_LNC001846)
Source: RNAcentral